Panicum virgatum (switchgrass) is the source of this 1143-nucleotide long non-coding RNA. RefSeq lists it as uncharacterized. The transcript has 3 exons. NCBI's taxonomy places the organism in Eukaryota, Viridiplantae, Streptophyta, Magnoliopsida, Poales, Poaceae. The record is from RefSeq and is a predicted model, not a curated record.
AUAAAUGCUGUCCUCUCCACCACUCCUUCCUUCCAAGUUCCAAGAGAGCAGAAGAGAACAGGAUAGAAUCGAAAGAACCCUUGCCCAGUUGCUGCCCCUCCCCUACCUUUGUCAUCAGCUGAGUAGUUCACCACCACCAAGUCAGGCAAGAUGUACAACGCUCCAUCGGCGCAGGAGAUGUCCUACUUCGACCAUGUGCAGAGGCGCCACGAGGAGAAGGGCUGCCUCUACGCAUGCAUCUUCACGGCUCUGUGCUGCUUCUGCUGCUACGAGACCUGCGAGUGCUGCCUCGACUGCCUCUGCUGCUGCUGCAACUAGGCCGCCGCCUGCAGCUCCAGAAGGCCGGAUGGAGUUGGAGAUGGCCUGUGUCUUUCUUACCUGAAAAUCAAGUAGCCUGCUUGGCUGCUUGCUUUAGUCUGGUUGUGAAGAACAUAAUAAAGCACGUUGUAGUUAUUCUGUCAGUAUGAGUAUUUGUGUGUUCUGAACAAGGUUCUGUUAGUACUGUAACCAAUCGUUUGAACUGCCGCAUCAUAUUGUUAGUAUCCGAUUCCGAUUCUGAACCCACUGCAUUUCUCUCGCGUUAAUUUAUCUGUACUGCUGCUACGCGUUCUAAUGGAAUUUUAAUAUUCUUCUUCAUUUGUUUAAAAUCAUCUGCGCAUUCAGGUUCAGAGGAAUAUGUUCGACUAUCACAGUGCCAUUUUUUUGGGGUCUAAAUUAUCAUUCGCCGCGUCUGGUGCACCAGAUCUUGCCUACCUGUUGUGACAGGUUCAGCAGUUGGUGCACCAACCUUCAUGGCAAGACAAAACCUCGAUUGGGGUCAUUGUACACCAGCACAAAGGUAGAUCGACGACAAUUUUAGACCAUGCUGAGUUGCUGACAAUGGUAUGGUAGCCGGCAUUGAACUACAGUCUACGGAGCAACCGUUUGUUUGCACAGAGCGUCAUGGCUGCAAGCCCACACUUCAUAUCUGCUGGCAAGUCUCAAAAGCGGCUUUGCUGCAUAGUCGUCCAUGGUUUCAACUUAGAAUCAUUUGAGAAUAUGGGGGAAGGGAAGGCUCCUAGGCUUGAACAAUGAGCCUCACCUUUAUGAGUUAUGAUGGAUCACUUCAUUUUUUUUUAAUUUGAUGGAUCCCCUUUGAGAAUA